RNAcentral lists this ribosomal RNA (426 nucleotides) under uncultured prokaryote. Its description in RNAcentral is "bacterial SSU rRNA". It matches the Rfam family "Bacterial small subunit ribosomal RNA", at positions 355 to 796 of the family's 1533-position model. The record is from RNAcentral.
UGGGGAAUUUUCCGCAAUGGGCGAAAGCCUGACGGAGCAAUACCGCGUGAGGGAGGAAGGCUUUUGGGUUGUAAACCUCUUUUCUUAAGGAAGAAGAACUGACGGUACUUAAGGAAUCAGCAUCGGCUAACUCCGUACCAGCAGCCGCGGUAAUACGGAGGGUGCAAGCGUUGUCCGGAUUUAUUGGGUUUAAAGGGUACGUAGGCGGGCUGUUAAGUCUGAGGUGAAAGCUCCUAGCUCAACUAGGAAACUGCCUUGGAUACUGGCAGUCUUGAGUACAGUAGAGGUAGGCGGAAUUCAGGGUGUAGCGGUGAAAUGCAUAGAUACCCUGAGGAACACCGAUAGGGAAGCCAGCUUACUGGACUGUGACUGACGCUGAGGUACGAAAGCGUGGGGAGCGAACAGGAUUAGAUACCCCGGUAGUCC